AUUCCCCUAUGGGGACCCAGGGACAGAGGGAAACGAACAUCAGAAGUGCCUACCUUUCGCGCUCCAUUGACGCCUAAGACUUAUCUUUUUUUCAGAAGAUUUAGAACCAUGUCGCAUUUCAUGUAUUUGACACUCAGUCUUACCUGGUUUCACUUACAGCUAUGAGUUGUUGACAAUUCUGGGAGUCAGAAUCUACGGUUUCCAGAAAACAAUUAAUGAAUAACUGGUGGCCACGUGGGGAACUGAAAUCAAGUCAAGCUAUCUAAGGCACUAGGUGUUACAAGGCAGCUCAGCCUCUUUUCCUAAACAGACCCAGUUCAUGGCUGCAACAGAUCCAUCCUGUGCAGUGAAACAGAUAUGAAAAGCACGAUGACUUAGUUGUCGUUUCAGCGACAGACUGCUAAGCUGACACGUCAUUACCCUGGAAGAAGACGCAUACCAUUCAGAAGGUGAAAUUCUCAGCAGGAGGCUGGCAACAGUGACCUGUGCUGGGAAACGUGCAGUGCACCAGCAUAGCCUUGGUAUUUGUAGGGCAAUUUUUGUUUUGAGUAUAACUCUUGACUCAUGGAAAAAUAAUCUAACUGUUUUGGGCUGGUCCUUGACUUGAUCUUCC
RNAcentral lists this long non-coding RNA (613 nucleotides) under Struthio camelus australis. Its description in RNAcentral is "lncRNA (ENSSCUG00000015039.1)". The record is from RNAcentral. Lineage: Eukaryota; Metazoa; Chordata; Aves; Struthioniformes; Struthionidae.